Molecule: non-coding RNA, 29 nt
Filed under: Mus musculus (house mouse)
Lineage: Eukaryota; Metazoa; Chordata; Mammalia; Rodentia; Muridae
Source: RNAcentral
UAGGUUGGCCACUCUCAGGUUCUGCAACC